Molecule: non-coding RNA, 84 nt
Organism: Dendrothele bispora CBS 962.96
Lineage: Eukaryota; Fungi; Basidiomycota; Agaricomycetes; Agaricales
Source: the annotation of a GenBank genome assembly
UGGUAGUUUGGCAUAGUGGCAAUGCCCUCUUUUGAGAUUCCCACGUCUUGCAAGAGUCCCUUGGUUCAAAUCCAGGACUACUCA